This 15910-nucleotide long non-coding RNA is filed under the name Fragaria vesca (wild strawberry). RNAcentral's name for it is "long non-coding RNA (FVES_LNC005502)". Lineage: Eukaryota; Viridiplantae; Streptophyta; Magnoliopsida; Rosales; Rosaceae. The record is from RNAcentral.
GUCUUGAACGCGAUGACCGGGUCUGAAGCCACCGUUUCUGGGGAGUUCAAACCGUCAAAGCCUAUGGCAUUUCCGGCAGCUCCGUAGUUGUAGUUCCAGGUGAGUUGGAGUGGUCCGCGCCCGUAGUACUGCUUGGCAGGGUUGCAUGGGUAGUCUGUUCUGCUUCCGUCGCAGUAGGUGUCCUUAUUUAUCUCUUCUAUGUAGCAAAAGUCUGAUCGAUUCCAUGCAAUAAUCAUUAACAAAACAAUCAAAUUAAUAUAUAUCAAAUCCAACAUAUUCUAGAUUAAUUGAUGAGGUACUUACGGCCAGUCUCAUGAGUGACAUGAGCAAAGAAAGCUGCAAUUUCGCGUUUAUUGUCAUCAGCAGAGCCGGUGGUAGCGAAAUCGGUGUAAGAGGCAAGGGCGUCGAGAAAAGCCUGUCUGGUGUAGAAGCUCUUGCCGGUGCAGUCAGCGGCAGCCUGGUUAAUAAUCCCGUUAAAGAAGUCGGCAGUCACGAUAUCUGCCACCGAGUUUUGAGCCGUGGCAAUUUGGGCUACAAAUGCUAAUAGUCCUAGGAUUGUCACGACUGCAGCUUGGAAAUUAGCCAUCUUGAUUUUGGUCUCUCUCGAUCGAUCUCGAUCUAUAGGUGUGUAGAUUUCAGAGUUGGUGCAUUAACUAAGCUGUUGGAACUGGGUAUUUAUAGGAGGAAUAUGCAUGGCAUGGAUGAUCGGGUAAUAUAUCUAGCUAGUUAGGUCGACGUCAAUUUAGAGAAGAACUUACAGUUUGGUUUGAAAUUUCAACAUACAUGUAAUGUAAUAUAUAUACGUGUCUGUGAUCUAGAACAAUUGACUAUUGACGUGCAAAAGAUGUGACUUGCAGAUCGGUUUUGAUUCUUAAUAUAUAUGCGAAGAAUCGUUUGGUUUUUAGCUAGCUCACUAGCUUAAUUAGCUUGCAAAGAAAUUUCCACUGUUGCCGAUGCCGGUCAUCAUCAAUAACCAUAUAUUACUAAUGAUCCAAAUAGAUAGGGUGCAUUCUUUCUACACGCACGCAUUUACCAGAAGGAAAGUUGUAGCCUGCUUGAUGCUUGCAGUCGGAUGACCAACAGAUGCAUGACCUCCAUCCCCAUGUAGAUUUUCCUCAACUUGUGCACGGAAAGUAGACGGAACUCGGGAACCUCUAAAAACCGGAAGUCUUAUAACAUCGUACCAUCUUAACCUCCUCAGGAUCGCCCUUAGCUGCUAGUAGAAAUAAACAAAACCCCCGUUUGGUUCGUGAAAAGAAAAGUCAUUCAUUUGUCUUUCCUAUUGAAAAAGAAAGAGAAAGGAAAUAAAAUUUCUCAAGCACUUUCUGAUGUUCGGUAACAUAUGGAAAAUUGUUUAAAAAAUUUGUAACUAGUGUAGUAGAAUAAUGUAGAGUACGGUUAUUGGGACCUCCAAAUUUGCUCACUUGACCUCACGUAAUUGUGAAUUAUUGAAUGACAUAUUUCUCCUCGUAUAAAAUGACUAUUAAGGACAAUAGUUAUAUAAAAGGAAGUAUUACAUUUAUUCCCUUUAGACUUUCCAAUUCAAUAAUGAUAGAUUGCAUUAUUUAUUAUUUUCCUUAUAUAUUUUCAUUUCUAAUUUUACUACAUAUUAUUGAAGCAUUCAUAUAUUUAAUAAGAGCUAAAACUAUGAUCAAUAUCGAUCAUGUGUGACACAAAAAAUUUCUAUUAUCAUAUGUGUUAAACGUAUGUACGAGAUCACAAAAUUAUUUACAAAGAAAAAAAAGAUCAAUUAUGAAUAAUUAAAUAACUAUUGAAAUAAUCUAUUAUGCGGUAUCAAAAUAGAAAAAAAAAAUUAAUAUACAUAGAGAAAAAUGGUUAUUCUUGAUCUUCGUUCAGGAGAGGUACAAUAGAAAACAAAACGUUAAUUCAUGUUAGAACAUUUUCUUGUUGUUAAAAAUAAAUUUUUGAAACCCUAUACAUUGAGCUUCUAUUUUUAUUUUUAAGAAAUUUACGUUAUUAAAUUAAGGAAUCAAAUCGUAAUUAAGAAAUGUCGAAUGCAAAAAUUAAUUAUAGUGAGUAAAAUUUGUUCUAGGAUAUUCUCUAUGUGUGCCUUGGCCUUAUGCCAAUAGGAUAUGUAGUUAGACUAGAUCUAUGUAUUCAUAUCCUUUACCAUAUUGGUAUUGUGUAAUUCCCUAUAUAAAGGGCUCCUAUCAAUGAAUAAGAUGACUCUCUUGCUAUCUCUUUGUCUCUACACUUUAUUCUUCAUCACGUUAUCAUGCACUUUGUUCUAACCCUAGAGCCAAUAGCCCACCAUUUUUUUUNNNNNNNNNNNNNNNNNNNNAAAUUUUUGAAACCCUAUACAUUGAGCUUCUAUUUUUAUUUUUAAGAAAUUUACGUUAUUAAAUUAAGGAAUCAAAUCGUAAUUAAGAAAUGUCGAAUGCAAAAAUUAAUUAUAGUGAGUAAAAUUUUUAUUUUAGAGAUAAUGAUUCAUUAUUAAAAAUUAUAUAGUGAGGUUAUUUGAGGAACUUAAGUGAGGUUUAGUGAGUAAAUAUACUAUUUGAAAAUUUGAUAGGAGGUGUAAAAAGCAUAGGAGGUCUAAUGAGCAAAUUUAGAGGUCUCAAUAGCCGUAUUCAAUAAUGUAUUGUGAGUAAUAAAUACAAGAGAACUAGAUGAGAAACAUAUUCAUAGAUUUUGGAGAGAACCAAUUUCCCUUCUAUUCUCGUUUCUUUCAAGAAAGUAUUUCAUUUUCUUCGUAAAACAAAUGAGAAAAAAAUACAAGGUUGAAGAUACACGAUUCAUUUCUUAAUGAGAAAUAACACAAUAAAUGAAUAACUUUUCUUUAUUGAUACUUACUUUUCGUAAAACAAAUGAGACGUAUCAGUACACACCAUUUUAAGUUUGCGAUAGAUUUAAACUUCCAAUCAAAUGUAACUUGAACAAAGUUGAUGACUUAGAGCAUCUCCAGCAGUGAGAUUUAAAAAUUGAUAUACUUAAUAAUAAUUUUGAAAUUUAGGUAUCAAUUUAACAACGUUGCUCCAUCAGUAAUUGUUAUUUUUAUGUUUUAACAAAUUGUAAAGUGACACUUGGGCAAGAGAGGAGAGAGAAAAGAUUUAGCAAUUGUUUUAGUUAUGCAUGGAUCAUUGACAAAUUUGUCAAUUUCAUUUAGCAAUUAUCAGAUUUAGCAAUGGUUUAUGUAUUCUGCUGGAGCAUCAAUUCACCUAAAAAAAUAUUGAUAAAUUUCCAGUUUAGCAAUACUACUAGAGCAUCUCCAGUAGUGUAACUAAAACUAUAGUUAAAUUUAACAAUAAUUAUGAGAUUUAACAAUUGUUAUAAAAAUUUGGCUCCGGCAGUUAUUGCUAAGUUAAGCAAUAUUUUUAACGAAUUAUAAAUUGACACGUGGAGAAAAAAAGAGGGAAAAUAUAGGUAUUCUUUUAGCAAUUCAUGGCUCAGUUGACAAAUUUAUCAAUUUUGUUUAGCAAUUCUUAAAUUUAGCAACCAUUUAGGUAUACUGUUGGCAGUGGCGUAGCCAGACAUCUCACUUAGAAUAGUCAAAUUUGAUUAAUUAGAAAAUUAAUUUAUUUUCAGUCACUCUUUAGCAACAACACAAUUUUAAUUAAAAGAAUGACGCAAACUUAAUUUCAACAAUAUUUGUGUUCUAUCAUUAUCAUCUCUAAUAAACUUUGGAUUAGAAUUUCAUGCACAAUAAAUAUUGGAAAAAAAUAAGAUACUUUUUCUUUUGUUUGAGAGAUAAUGCAUGUUGAUGUAUGGUAAACAUUAAUGUGUUGUUUCCAUUAAGUAAGGUGAAAAAUCCUUAACAUUGAUUGGAUUAAGUAUCUCAAUAGUAUAAAUUUUUAUUUCAUUCCAUUAUUGUUGAUGAAUAUUUAAGACUAAUUAAGAAUUUAUUAGAGAAGAGAGGUCAAUUUAUAUUUUAUUUCCACUGAUAUCCAAUACAAAUGAAGGCUAAUUACUCUUUUUGAAAAUUUGAGAGGGUUCAAUUGAACCCCUUGCCCCCUAGCUAGCUACGCCAUUGACUGUUGGAGCUCCUGUUCAUUCAAAAAGUUGACAAAUUUAAAAAAAAAAAAUUUAACAAUACUACCGGAGAUACUCUUGUUAAAUAAUUAUUAACCCACCCAACGAGGAAGGGCAACAUAAAUUCUAUCACUUCGUAUCAUUGUUAAUCUGAAAGAGAGAUGUGGCCGGGCACGUAUGCAGGCUGCUGCACCACUAAUUACGGAGCCAAAAAGGAAGACAAGAAAAAACAAGGAGACAUACGGCUUGUUUUGAUGAGUGUUCCGUCAAUUAAGCUGCUAAAAAAAUCAAGUAAAUUAAGCUUUUGUAGCAAUUGUAUCGUAUUGGAAACGAAAGCCAGUUUCAACAUUGAAAUGGACUCACGGCAUCAUCAUCUCCAUCGACAUCACACAUGAAACUAAAGAGUUUGAUCACUUUGAUGUAUCAAAUUCCAAUACGAGACUUGGUUUUGGACCAGUCUGUCUAUCUAUUACUACUUGUUGGUCAUAUGCAUACGAGAGCGAUGCUAGAGAUACCAAAUUUUUAUAUAAAAUUAAAAUACCAAAUGACCGUGUCGUGUGCCUUAUCAUUAGUUUUAAAUGUCAUGUCAUCAAUGUGCUACAAUUCUUUGGUCGUGAUUUUUUGAGAUCUGCUUUGUGUUGGCAUGCCAACGCUUCUAAGUUCAGCAUAACUGUCUUGACUUGAUUCUUCGCGCUUUCUCUUGACUUCUGCUCCAGACAACUGGCUAGAUUCUUCUACCAAACCUAAGGGGGGUGUAUUGUAUUUGGAUUUAUACAGACUUAUUUUAAUCAACUGACUUUUUAAAAAGUCUACAGACUCUUUGAAAAGUUCAUAGACUUUCAUUGAUUUCUUAAAACCAUCGAUUUUUAAUCACAGACUUUCACUGAUUGGAAAAAUCUACAGAUUUCAUAUGAAUGUCUUCUGUAGAUUUCUCAAUACUUACAGAGUUACAUGAAAGAAAAAAAAAAAAAGAUGCAAUGACAAACACAUAAUAACACCGAUUAUAAGUUUAGUGCUCAUCUAUCUAAUUUCGAUGCAUACAGUUGUAAUAUUUGAUUGAAAUACAUAAACAUAGGUAUCGAAAAAUAUUAUAGUAACUUAACAACACGCAUAUUUGUACGUAAACCAAAGACACAUGUUCUAAAGUGGGACAUUAGAUGUUCACAAGUUUAAUUCAUAUACGCAAAUAUAAUAAUAUAUGAUCAUGUGGUUCUAAUAUCAAGAGUUAGUAGAUAAUAUUUAGGUUAUCAAGGGUUCCAAGCAUUACAAUUGAAAGACAAUAAAAUGUUAACAUUCAAAAAAUAUUAAAAAGAAUAGGUAGAAUAGAACAUUGAUAGCACAAAAUAUUAUUAAAAAUAAAUAAAAAAUGAUGUAUCGUAGGAUCAACUUAUUCACAUGUAAAGAGAAAGUCUAUCGUAGACUUUUCCAAAUCUUUGCUCUAGUGGAUGGAAAAAUAUUGGAGUUUGGUGUGUGUAAUUUACACUACAAAGUCCACAAUUAUCCAUGAGUUAUUAAUUCCAUAAGUAUGAAUGAUAUUUUGAAUACAUCUGAACUUCUAUUCAUUUUAAAAAGUCUUAAUUGAAUACCCUUAAAUUUUGGUGGAAUUCAUAAUGAUUUUUUAAAAUUUAGUUGAAUACACCCAGAUUUUGAUUGAUUUUUAAAAGUCUGUAUUGAAUACACAUACACUUUCAAAUUCCAUAGACUUUUUUAAAACUUCCACUAAUUCCAUAUACAAUACACCCUCCUAAGAUUACUCUUAGGGUGUUUAAACAACGAAAAUUAAAGGAUAUUUGCUAAGGAUUUCCCCUUAACAAUGGGAUAUUUGCUACAACAAGCUGUAACAAUAAUGUCGAUUUACGGGUUUGUGCUGACAAAUCAGUCUUUAUGGAAUGACGAUGGACUUUGUACCGACAGAUUGGGCUAAUGGAAGUUGCCGACGGAUCAGACUUUUUGCAAUAGACCCAAGGAGUCUUUUUUCGGGUAGGUGCUCCAAUGGAGGCUUGAUAAUUGCGGAGUGCAAAGUGUUUGUCUGCUCAUUCGCCUCGACCUCUUUAUAUAGAGAACUAUAUUCUUGCAGAUCAAGGUAUCAGACAAACUAGGAAAAAGUAUCUCUACAAGAUCACGAAAUAGAUCCUUAAGCAAUCUUCAAAUAUCUCGUCAUGCAUGACCUACGGGAAAUAAAGAUAUUUACAGAUUUUAACCGCAGGUAUCAGUCCAUGCAUCACAAAUCUAAAUGGACUUAGAUACGAUAAGUAGGUUAUUCACCUCAUAAUAUAACUCUAGAUACGGACGUCCUAUAGGUAAUAUAAUUACCUCAUGAAUCAUUCUUGACGUGUAUCACCUCAUAAGUAUAUAACCCACUUAAGGAAUUGUAACACCCUGACCCAAGUGUUAAAAAAAAAAUGAAUAAAAUAAAUAAAGAAAUCCUAAAUCGAAAAUGAGAUAGGAUCUCAAAAUCAAAUAAAACAACAAAACAGUUUUGCUGCGUUUGGAACCUAAAUUUUAUUUUGUUUAUCUGCGGCUGCACCCUAAACUUGAUCGGGCUGCCUACGUACCCUUUUAAAGGGAUCAAGCCACUCGUAGUUCAACUUUUUAUUCUACUUCUCUAUCUUCCCUAACAACAUCUCAUUUACCACCAUAAAUCCAAAAAUCAAAACCAUACUUACGGACUCUUAAGAACCAAUUUAAAAUGUUUUCUUCUAUACCCAUUUAAUCAAAUCAACCCGGCCAUACAAAGCCUCAUGUAUUAUCGAAACUAUACCAAUUUAUUAUCAUUCUAAUUUAGAGUUCCAGGAGAAUAAUUAAACUCAUCAACUUAACCAAACCCCACACUUAACUCGCAUAACAACCUACUCAAGUGCCAAAGAGUGUGUAUAAGUAUGCACACAUACUUAUAUAUAUGUGUAUAUAUAUAUAAGUACAUAUAUAUAUACCCCAUCAAAAUUCUAUUAGAAUAAUAUAAAACUCAACUUAUGUAAAUCAUCAAACAUGAAUUCUUUCACCUUGAACCCAAAUUUACUAAACAUUCUAACUUAGAUUUACUAUGGACAUCCAUUUCGACUAAAACCAAAUCCCAAAUCCAUACAUAACACUCCAAUAUCCACUUCAAUGCCUAAGCACAAUCCAACAAUUGUUUAACAGUAAUAUUCCUAUACCCGGUUAUUAAUUUAACCGUUAAUAUUGUUAAUCUUUGGAAAAUCCGAAAUCUAACCAACCUUAUUCCAAAAAUUGCUAACUUUCCACCAAUGGGCUUCUCUCAUUUUUAGCAAUUUAAUAAGCAUGAAAAACUGCCCAAAAAGUGGCAGCACCGCCGCCAGCUCCGCCGCCGACCACCUCCAAUCAUCACCAAAAUUUGACAGAACCCUCCUCUCAACCCACACAACAACUUCCUAGAAGAAGUCGAAGACCAAUUCUAAGCCUAAAAAGGUCGAUCGAAUCAAAACACAAUAAAGAACCUUAGAGCUUCAAUUAUACAUUUCACCCUAACAAGAUCGAAUUAGACCAAUUCCUUUCGAGGGAUUACUCACCUUGAUGAGAGCUAUAAGAUGAGCCAAGAAUCACGAACUUUGAUGGCCGGAGGAGCAAUUACCGAUGAGUGGACCAUCCGGCGUUUCGGCGGGAUUACUCACGUCCGGCGGCGUCAUCGACCCGGUCACCGGCUUAAGAAGGAAGAGGGGGCGACAAGGGUCCGAACGGGACCAGUCCGACGAUCUCUGGUGGCCGGACGGCGGCAGGUGAUGGUGGUGAAGCCGGCCGGUCCAGGGAAACUCGGGAGGAAGGAGAGAGGAAGGAAAGAGAGUGGGGGGUGUGUUGGGCUGCUCCACACACCCGGUCCAACUUUAAUACCCACACCCAAAAUAAAGCCUAUCAAAAAUUUACCCCCAACCAACAUAGUAAUUUUCGUUUUUAGACCAUUACUUCUUUAUACGAACUCCGAUUUAAGCGUGCCACAUGUCCACGAGCUCGUAUUAACGUCCUCUAUGACUUCCAUAAAGGAAGUUUUCCCAAAUUAUCGACUUAACGAAAAGUCAACUUUCUGGGUCCUUUACGGUAAAACGAUUACAAGAAACAAUAAUUGAAAAUUUCCUGGAAACUUUAUAAAUUCAAAGAACAUAGCUCGUCGCUCCAGAAAAUAAUCCGGGCAUACAGGUGAGCUCGUAUAAACAUGUACCACGACUUCGGAGUUUUAAAUCCAAUAUUUACCGUUUUCAGAAAAACUCGAAAACAAACUCGAGUAAUCGCUAUUUAAAUCUCUGAGCGCGAAUAAAGAAAAAUCUGCGGUAACUCAUAGCCCUAAACAGUAACCUUUUAGGUACGAGGUAUUACAAAUCCCUAAGGUAAUACAAUCGGACUCCAUCCUUGCAUGCCUGUGGACGCCAUGCACUACUUUAUGCAUUCAAAUGCCAAUAAGGAAAGUAAUCUCCUUAUAACAAUAUAAUUGUAGAACGUCAUGCAUGCAUUGCUCUCUUUCCUUAAUCAAAUAGAUUCGAGGAUGUUAUCACCUCUUCAAACACACGUCUCUUUGUGCCUUGAUUGCCAAUGUGACUUAAAUGUAUGCUUUACCUCUAGGUUCCUCUAUUUUGCAAGAUUCUCCAAUAUUGCUCAAUCUUGAUAUCCAAACAAUCUACCAUUAAUUACCAAAUAAUCGAUAAUCAACGAAAAGUCGAUAACUACUCGGAUUUGCCUCCAAGAUUGCUUGACCUCCAAGUAGGCAUGUAUAGCCUUAGAGAAAUUUUUCUGUCCUCCAGGAGGACCACCUCACCAUGACACUUGGUCCUCUUUGCCAAUACAAAACCGACACGUGGCUUUUUUUAACUUACUCAAUUCAAGAUAAUUUUACCGUGUGGUGAAAAUUCUACCAAAUGCUAAACAAAAAAAUUUCUCUCCGUCAGCUACUGCCGUUAACCUCAUCCAACAAAACCCAAAACCUGUGGCUUUUAUCUUUUUCUCCCAAAUCUCUUGCUCUCGUCCUCGAGACCGGACUCCGACUCUCUCCCUUACGCGAAGUAAGUUUGAAGGAAAUUGGAAUCCCCAAAUAAGGUAUAUAGGCAAUUUUGAAGGAAAUCAAAAGCCCCAAAUCAGGUAUCGAAAUAGUAGAUGAAAUUUCAGUCAUGAACCCCUUUUGUCAUUUUUGUGUUGAGUGUUUUUGUAGCUAGCUAGCAUCUCUAUCUCUAAUAGCUCGAUUUGUAAAGAUUAAGAUAAUGGACUGUUUCUCACUUGCAAUUGGGAUUGGUCUAUCAAUAUCAGUCCUUUCGUUUAUCCCCUUUCACUCAAAGCCGAUGAGUUUGUUCUUAUUCUUAAUUUUGAUUGAACUGAAUUUUGGUUUUUAUGAUUUGAUUAAAUCUAACGCAUACAAUUUUUUUAUAUUUGAUUAUAUCUUUUAUUAAAGUGUGAAAUCUUUACUCAUGGAUUUGGUAAUGUUGUAUGGUUCUCUGCUCAUAGGUGUCAAAGAACGAACUCAUUUUCUGAUGUAUAUGACAAAGAAUGCUGAUAUUUACAUAGUUCAGGAUGUUAUAGCUUUCAAGCUUCUUACAAGUAUAACUUGCAUGCUAAUUUAUGACGAAGAAAUGUGCUUUGCAAUUCGGUCUUUUAAGUCUGUGGCUUUACUUUACUUCUUUUGUAUAAUUUCAAAUGUAUAAAAAUACACUCAUGAUUAGCUUCUUUUUUCCUCUGAUAAUGAUAUUGUGUAUAAAAUAGAGUUUGACAAAAAUUGAUCUGGGGGCUUAGAGUUGAAAUAGAAAAUGGAGUGGCAAUGUUGAGAGGGAAAGGGGCUCUAGACAAGAACGUGGGAGUUGCCUUCUAAUUUGCAUACUGGCAUGUCCAUACUAGUUGCUAGAGAAGAAGGCUCUCAAUCCAUUUUUGUAUCAUAUGGUGGUGGUGGAGAAUGGCUAAGUGGACUCCAACACCGCAAAAGCCUAUCUAACUCAGGUUAUAGUACCCAUUUUGGGUGAGUUAACCAGAAAUCGCAAUGAGGCUGAUGCAACUCCUGUGAUUUUGUUGACCAACAUCUUUCAGAAUUUUCUCUUGGAUCCCAUGGUUCUCUUUGGUUCUGUGAGUAACUUUUGGGAAAGAGAAAAAAAUAAAAAAUACAGGUAGUUGAUUUAGUAUGUUUUUCCUUUGUACAUGUUUAGACCAAUUUUGAGAAUUGAUUAUCUCAAGAGGUAAGGUUUCAUGUCCCCCUCUUUGUAUUUUUUUUCUCAAUUAUUAAUAAAAGUUUUGAGGCUUCAAUUCAAUCAUAGCUACUAUGCUUGUAAAUGAUCUAUAAUGGUGGCCUCACUUGACCAUGUAAAACAUGGGUCAGGUACCAAUUCCAACCACUCCAAAGUCAUCAAUAGAAAAAAAAGAGAAAAAAAAAAAGUUUAUGAAGUCAUUGAAUCACUAAACAUACCAUCUUUAACAAAACUAGACUCAUUUCAAUUGAGCAUUAUCAGACAAAUAACAUUUGAAGGUCUUCAAGAGUAUAAAAUAACAAUUCAAAAUCCAAUCAUUGUCUUAAUGAGUAUUUCUAGAACUACUGUUGCUAAUUGUUUUUCCACAGAUAGCAUAUCAAAAUUAAGUCUUCUCUUGCUCCCAACAAAAAAAAAUCAAGUCUUCUCUCCAGCAUAUCAGCAUAUAUACAACAUAGCAGCAUAUAUACUGUUAGACUUCCUUUUCCCUACACAAGUAUAUGAUACAAACAAUAAAUUAAAGAAAAAUAGAAGACUGAUCAAACUAUAACUGUUAAACAUUUUAUAUAUGCUUAUAACGCAAAAUCACUUACCAGAACCUUGACCUUUAGGUGCCUUUUUAUUUUGUUUCUUCUCCAUUGCGGCUUUCAUUCUUUUAUUGCUCAUACCUUUUGGCCACACUCCUGCUGGAUUUAGUAUCGGUUGUUCACCACAUAAAGGUCCCUUCUUGUGAGUACCACCAUUAGAGGUAUUAGCAUCAUAACCCUCAUUGAUUCCUUCAUUUACAUCUCCCUCAAUAACUAACUUCUUCAUAUUCUUUUCAAUUAAAUCUUCUGCUUCUAUCAACUUUUGCAAUGCAAUGUCACUACCAGUAGUUGUCUCUGCUCCCUUACUGAUUAUAUCAAGCCUUUCGCAUCAAAGUAUUCCUACGCAAUGUCACCGUUGAUUUCUGCUUGACCUGUAAUGAUGCACUAUCUUCCUUUACUCCUUUCUUUGCAUCUUUUGUCCACCUCUUUAGUAUAUACUCUGCUGGAAUUUGAGUAAUAUUUUUUACAUUUGACACCCUCAAAGCAUGACGGCACAACCAACCCAUAGAUUCAUACAUCUGACAACUACAAGAAAUAGACUUAUUUGAAGAAUUGAACUCGACAGUGUACACUCUUUUAUGACCCUCUUCAUUAAGUUCAAAUUUCUGUAGUGUUCCAUCACUUCUAGCUUCCUCCAUCUUCACUGCCAAGCUAGCAAUAAACUCGAACUCAAAUAAAUUAUAAAUCUUUCGGGUGUAGACCAUACCAGCUUGCUUCUUAAUUCCACUACUUUUUGCAGCUCUAGAAGGUAUCCCGUUAUUGCAUCGAAAAGUCUCUUCCAAUUCACUUGAGCGCAUCUUUUCUGCCUGUUUAUCAUAAUGAUCCACAAAUUCAGUAAGACUCAAUGUUUUAGUAGACAUGAGGGUGAAUACAUUGUUUGUGCUCUCACUUCUUUGAGUAGAUAAUAUACCGGCAGAGAAUGUAUCUUUGCUGAAUAGUGCACACCAUUUUUCACGAAGAUCAUAAAGUGUCUUGAGCCAUGUCUUCUCUUUCUCUGUAAAGUCAAACUUCUCUAUAAUUUCUUUCCAUGUAGACUCGAAUUCAUAUUUUGUCACAUGUCCGAAAAGCCACUUCCUGAAAAGCUCACUAAAUUCAGGAUUUCUAUAAUGCGACUUCAAGUUGUCUCCCGCAUUCUUUGAAAUAUGCCACAAACAUAAUCGAUGACGUGUCUCAGGAAAAACCUUCUCGAUGGCAUUUGCCAUUGCCUGACACCGAUCAGUGAAAAUAGUCUUAGGGUUUUUACCUUCCAUUGCUUCUAAGAAUGUCUCAAAUAACCAAAUAAAAGAAGCAGUCGUCUCAUCUAGCAAAAAUGACACAGNNNNNNNNNNNNNNNNNNNNNNNNNNNNNNNNNNNNNNNNNNNNNNNNNNNNNNNNNNNNNNNNNNNNNNNNNNNNNNNNNNNNNNNNNNNNNNNNNNNNNNNNNNNNNNNNNNNNNNNNNNNNNNNNNNNNNNNNNNNNNNNNNNNNNNNNNNNNNNNNNNNNNNNNNNNNNNNNNNNNNNNNNNNNNNNNNNNNNNNNNNNNNNNNNNNNNNNNNNNNNNNNNNNNNNNNNNNNNNNNNNNNNNNNNNNNNNNNNNNNNNNNNNNNNNNNNNNNNNNNNNNNNNNNNNNNNNNNNNNNNNNNNNNNNNNNNNNNNNNNNNNNNNNNNNNNNNNNNNNNNCUCCUCUUCUCUAUCCGAACACUGAACCCAGUUCUAGCACCAUAGUCAUUGUAGAGGUUGUAUGCUUCCUUCUCACUAUUGACAAUUACUCCCAACAGGUUGUCAUUGUUACUAGCUUGACGAUUCACAAUAAUUGGAUCUUUUCCCAAAUCAGUUGUCAUGCAAUACUCUUCAUCAUCUUCUAAGUCAAUCACUGUAUGUAGGCAUGUUAGUGAAUGAAUUAGCAUGUAAAAUGUAUAGCUACUGUAAAAGAAAAAAAUUGAUAGAACAUGAAAAUAAGGGGUCGAACCCAGCAAAAUCAAGAACAUGAUUAAAAAAGGUUUCUUUACCUUGGUGAUGAUCAUCUACAUCUAUAUUCAUUGUUGGAUAUAUAGAGGAACUCAGUGUCAUAGAAACGAACAAUAUAGCAAUAUAGGUGAUGAGAGACUAUGACAUAAAAGCUGUUCUAUGGUUUCUUUACCAUAAUAUCUGAACGACAUGUAGAAUACAUGUUGAUAACGGCAAACAGAGAACUCCGUCGGGUUUGUCAUCAAUUUUUUUGUUUGGCAUUUGAUAGAAUUUUUACCACACGAUAAAAUUAUCCUGAAUUGAGUAAGUUAAAAAAAAACCACGUGUCGAUUUUGUAUUGGUAAGGAGGACCAAAUGUCAUGGUGAAGUUGUUCUCUUGGAGGACAGAAAAAUUUCUCUAUAGCCUUAAUAUCAAAUAUCUGACGAGAUACUGGAUGUCAUGUCAUCAUUCAUUAACUAAUAAUUUUAUUCUAAUGCAUGUCAUUUCAUCCGACUUCAAAAAAAUUGCAAGUCAUUACAUCUUAAGUAGAAAAUGUCGUUGUUUCCCAAGCCCCAAUCAAAUCAACCAUCCUUUUCUCUUUUGUUUAGGGAUAGGGUUUAGUAUUUAAAAAACAACAUAAAACCCAAAAUGUUAUGUGACAAAAUAACUGAAAUAAUUUUUCAUGAAGAAAAUCCACAUGUCUAAAUUUGAUUGGAAUGUAGGACCACAUCAGAUUGUCAUGUGGUCCUCCCGUAGCACAGAAAAAUUUCUCCAUCAUAUGGUAUGUACUUUUUGGUAUCCACCUCUAGCAUUUUUCUAUGCAUAUACCUCAAAGUUAAUUUGCAGAAUUUUGUUUUUCUCUUUCACUGAGCAGGAUUCAAAUUUGCCAACCACUUUUUACUUGACCAUCUAGUAACCACUAUCUAGAUUGGUGACACAUGUCUGUUCAAAUUGUUUUAUUUUAUUGUUCAUAAAAAAAUGAGUAUGUGUCACCAAUCUAGAUGGUGAUCAUUAAGGUGGUCAAGUAAAAGAUGGUUGGUAAAUUUGAAUCUCAUCGAGCAUGCUUGCAAAUGUUGGAGAAAGAAAUAAAAGCUUGACAAAAGGGAGAGUUUUUAAAAUUAGUAAAUCCACAAAUUAGUAAAGUUUUUAAAAUAUAUGAAAUUGGAAAACAUUGAGGUACAUGUGAUCGAUGAUAGGACGAGAAAUUUCAUUAACACAUGGUUAAUUACUAGAUACCCACAUUUUAUUUUUGAAUCUUUUUUAAAUACUAUUUUACCCUUGAUUUGAGAAUAUUGAAAUUAAACCAAACAAAUUAAUGUUAUACCAGAGUCUAGUCUAAACAGCAGAACAAUAUUCCAUAAUCUUUUUUAUUAACUUAUGAAUUCCGAAUGGAUCCAACAACAACAGCCAAAUUGAGUAGAUAGUCGAGCUAAAUUGACCGAUAUAGGUAGCAAUCCCGCUAACUUAUUUUACAUCUUCAUAAUAAGCUUUUCUUUUUUUUUUUUUUUUUUUCUUUUUUUUUUUUUUUUAUUAAACGGGGUUUAGAACCCAGCCUAUUCAGGGAAGCUCAGCCCUAAGCCCGAAUUAUUAUUAAUCAAAUGAGAAUAAGCUGUUUAUAGAUAAUAGGAUCCUUCAGAAUAUAUAUGUAAUAAAGAGCUUAAACGAUUCCUAAUAGAUUUGUGUAUAGCGGUACUAAACCAUUGAUGGUGUAUCACCGGACUAGAAAAGCCUUUGAUAGAAACAAACGAACCCUACCCGGAGGAAAGGAUGCGGGGGUUCGGCUCUUUGUCGAUGGAGUUCAGGUUCAAGUGGAGGGUCGCAGCGGUUCGAGGAGAGUCGGCGGUGCGAGAUCAGCAUUCAUUUGGUGUUGGCGGCAACUGGUCGGUGGCGACGACGGGGUCUGGUUUUCAAGUCGGGUCUACUUGAUCCGAUGCGGUUUCGCCCCUUUUGUGAUCGUUCUCGGAUCCAAAGGCUGCUCUGGCCGUCAUGGUUGGGCACCGAAACAAGUCGGCACGUCUGUGCUUUAGGCAGACAGAGGUGGUGAUGCGGUCGGUGGCAACUGGCAAGCAAGGGAGGACAUCGACGAGACAUUGGAGGUUCCCCUGCAGCUCUGAACUUUGGAGUGGGCUUCAUGGUAAUUGGGCCUUGGCUUCUGCUUUGGCCCAAUCCUAUUUUUCAUUUCUGUUUUGUUUUAUUUUUCAAUUUCUACAAAAUUUCCUUGCUUUUUGUAAGGAGCUAUUGGUAUUUAGCUCAGCUAUUUACAAAAUUUCCUUGUUUCUGUAAGGAGCCAUAGAACUUAGUUUCUGCCUAUGUCUAUGCAUGUUAGACUUCCUAGUUUUAGGCUUUAUGAGCUUAAUCAUAUAUGGGGUGGUGCUAGUAUAUAUACCACGUCCUCUAACUUGUUCUUGUUAGCAAGGAAAAAUAUGUAUCCGUGUCGUCUCAGACAUUUGAAAUUGAAAUGAAAUUACAACGAUUAUUUGAAAAAAAAAAAACGGUUGAUAGUGUUUAACUCUAUUAAGAGCAAAAAUAAACUUUCUGAAAAAGAAAAAAAAAAGAAAAAAAGGUACAGUCAACCGAUUCAACCUCUUUAUUUAACAAAUGAGUAGAAAUGUAGAAUACAAGAUAGGAAGUAUUCUAGAUUGAUGUUAUAUGAUUUAGGCAAGCGACACUUUAUUAAAUUUAUUCUAAUUAGUUAAGUUAACAUGUAUCUAGCAAUACAGAUUUUCGCCAGGAGAAACAUUAAGUUGGGUACAGUAGUCCUUAUAAUAGUUGAUACGAGCUUGAACUUUGUCCGGAGCUUUGCCAUCACAUUCAACGGCACCGUUGAUGGCUCGAGUUGUGGCUCCGAAUCCUUGGCUUAUAACAGAGUGAACAUUGUUCAUCCAAAACCACAACCCUGUCUUGAACGCCACCACGGAGUCCGAAGCCACCGUUUCCGGAGAGUUUAGGCCGUCAAAGCCAAUAGCAUUUCCGGCGGCUCCGUAGUUGUAGUUCCAGGUGAGUUGGAGUGGUCCACGGCCGUAGUACUGCUUGGCAGGGUUGCAUGGGUAGUUUGUGAAGGAUGUGUCGCAGUAGGUGGCCUUUUCUAUCUCUUCUACGUAGCAAAAAUCUGCAUAAAUCCAUCAUUAACAAAAUAGUACUUGGAUUUGUAUCCAAAAAAAAGUACUUGGAUACACACACAAGAAGUUACAGUUAAAAUACUAGAUUAUUGGAUGAUGAGAGACAAUGAUGAUAUUCUU